GACGAACGCUGGCGGCGUGCUUAACACAUGCAAGUCGAACGGAAAGGCCCUGCUUUUGUGGGGUGCUGGAGUGGCGAACAGGUGAGUAUCACGUGAGUAACCUGCCCUUUACUUUGGGGUAACUUCAGGAAACUCGGGCUCAUACCGGGUAGGAGCUCCUUCUGCAUGGUGGGGGUUGGAAAAUUUCGGCGGUUCGGGAUGGACUCGCGGCUUAUCAGCUUGUUGGCUGGGUAGUGGCUUACCAAGGCUUCGACGGGUAGCCGGCCUGAGAGGGUGACCGGCGACAUUGGGACUGAGAGACGGCCCAGAAUCCUACGGGAGGCAGCAGUGGGGAAUAUUGCAGAAUGGGCGGAAGUGUGAUGCAGCAAUGCUGCGUGCGGGAUGACCGCCUUGGGGUUGUAAACCGCUUUCGCCGGUGACGAAGCGUGAGGGACGGGUAUGGGUAAAGAAGGACCGGGUAAAUUCGGG
RNAcentral lists this ribosomal RNA (468 nucleotides) under uncultured bacterium. RNAcentral's name for it is "partial 16S ribosomal RNA". It matches the Rfam family "Bacterial small subunit ribosomal RNA", at positions 28 to 507 of the family's 1533-position model. The record is from RNAcentral.